AUGAAGUGGUCGUGGCUCAAAGGUCUGGGUCGGUGUGAAUGAGAGAAGGGGGGAGAACAACAGAGAGUAGCAUGAAGAGGAAUGGGCCGGUUUGGAUGUGAUUUGUUAGGUUUGCGUGUGGCCCCGGGGUCAUGGCACUAAUCUAUGGAGACGGACGCGCACCGCGCCGCCUCGUAAUUCAUAGAGAGAAACGCGACUGGGAGCGCGGUAACGGAAGCAUCCAUCAGGCUGACAGCUGGGCGUAUCCCGGGGCUAGUCCAUUGAAAAUAAAAUGCGUCUUUCUCCUGGGGCCCGCCUGUACAGAGCUGGACUGACUUUUGUUCCCGUGGCAACCGCAUGAGUACAUAUAUAUACUGUAUAUACACAUGGGGUUUGUUUUAUCCGAAGGAAGUUUAUGUGGCCCCUCUCUGGCCCUAUAUACACACAUGCACAUGCCCACACACACACACACACACACACACACACACACACACACACACACACACACACACACACACACACACACACACACACACACAAACUGUCUGAUAUAUAUCCCAGUACACCCUGUGUUUAUGUGUGUGUGUGUGUGUGUGUGUGUGUGUGUGUGUGUGUGUGUGUGUGUGUGUGUGUGUGUGUGUGUGUGUGUGUGUGUGUGUGUGUGUGUGUGUGUGUGUGUGUGUGUGUGUGUGUGUGUGUGUGUGUGUGUGUGUGUGUGAUAAGAAAAGGGGAAGAGAAAGCCUAUGCAUGCUGAAUGUCUUAUCUCUCUGUUAACUAUUCCUCUCUUGUCCUUGAGUUGGUUGAGAUUAACAUAUUAAAAUAGCCAUCUUCUGCUAGGAGAGAUAAAGUGAGUGAGGGAAAUAAAUGGAAACAAGAGGAAGAGGUAGAGAGAGAGAGAAAUAGAGAGUGGGAGAGUGAGAGAGAGAGAUGCUUAUGCUUUUUUUUAAUGCCGUUUGUUUAGUGAUUUAAAGAAUGUCAUUCUCUUUUGUUAUUAGUUUUCUGUCUCUUCCUCUUUCCCCGCCUAGUUCCUGACAUGCACUCUCGGUACUUAAUGAAGCUGUCAAAUGCAAUUGGCUUUGGGUGUUGGUAGGUUUUCCCUUUUUGAACCGCUUCGGUCCACAAAAGCCUUUGUUCAGCAAAAUUUGGUCAAUAAAUGCCAUGCUGUGAAACAGGUCUUUCACUUAUUGGAUCAUAAAAAUGAAACCCCCACUUUCCCCGUCAUGGACCGUAAUGGAACAGCAACAGUCCAUGGGGAUUCUGUUGCUUAAUAUCAUUAUUAUUUCUAUAUUCGGAUGAUUCUCUCGUACACAACAGAAUUAGUGUGCGUAAGACUGUACACUCUGCUGUUUGAGAUAAACAGUCCAAAACAAACCAGGGGUGAAGUAAUCCCUAAAACAACUCCCAGAAGACUGAUUGAACAUUUGUCUUUGGUUCCCGAGUUGAACUUAACUUCUUAUAUCCUCCUCGAUUGAGCCCUGGGUCUUUUCAAAUAGUAGGAGCUGGUGAACCUUCUACUAAAUGUCUUUGGAUGAGCUUUGUACUCGUGUUCAGAACGCUUUUACAACUCCUCUGGUUGUUGCUUGGGUUGUGUUGGGGGAACACCUGCAAUCCUCCACCAUCCAUCUUAUCCCUAAAACCUUUCAUUCACAUCUACCCCUUCUAUGACAGCACAUCUGUCUUCCGUUCGCCAGGAUGUGUACCCCGAAGCUCUGAGCUUUUCUUUGACACCCAAGUCUUUUAUCAAGGAACUCUUGUAAAUCUCUGGCCCUGUGAGCAUCAGAACCACCUGAACGACAGUAUCCAAACUUAACCGUCACAGUUAUCGAAAUGGACGGAUGGACACACACACACACACACACAUGCACGCACGCACGCACGCACGCACGCACGCACGCACGCACGCACGCACGCACACACACACACACACACACACACACACACACACACACACACACACACACACACACACA
Gadus macrocephalus (Pacific cod) is the source of this 1949-nucleotide long non-coding RNA. RefSeq lists it as uncharacterized. The transcript is spliced from 2 exons. Lineage: Eukaryota; Metazoa; Chordata; Actinopteri; Gadiformes; Gadidae. The record is from RefSeq and is a predicted model, not a curated record.